RNAcentral lists this ribosomal RNA (397 nucleotides) under uncultured bacterium. Its description in RNAcentral is "partial 16S ribosomal RNA". It matches the Rfam family "Bacterial small subunit ribosomal RNA", at positions 523 to 918 of the family's 1533-position model. The record is from RNAcentral.
AUACGUAGGGGGCAAGCGUUAUCCGGAUUUACUGGGUGUAAAGGGAGCGUAGACGGAAGGCCAAGUCUGAUGUGAAAGCCCGCGGCUCCACUGCGGGACUGCAUUGGAAACUGGUCAUCUGGAGUGCAGGAGGGGUAAGCGGAAUUCCUAGUGUAGCGGUGAAAUGCGUAGAUAUUAGGAGGAACACCGGUGGCGAAGGCGGCUUACUGGACUGUAACUGAUGUUGAGGCUCGAAAGCGUGGGGAGCAAACAGGAUUAGAUCCCCUGGUAGUCCACGCCGUAAACGAUGAAUACUAGGUGUCGGGUUUCUAUAGAGAUUCGGUGCCGCAGCAAACGCAAUAAGUAUUCCACCUGGGGAGUACGUUCGCAAGAAUGAAACUCAAAUGAAUUGACGGGG